Molecule: transfer RNA, 73 nt
Filed under: Ovis aries (sheep)
Lineage: Eukaryota; Metazoa; Chordata; Mammalia; Artiodactyla; Bovidae
Rfam family: tRNA
About the family: Transfer RNA (tRNA) molecules are approximately 80 nucleotides in length. Their secondary structure includes four short double-helical elements and three loops (D, anti-codon, and T loops). Further hydrogen bonds mediate the characteristic L-shaped molecular structure. tRNAs have two regions of fundamental functional importance: the anti-codon, which is responsible for specific mRNA codon recognition, and the 3' end, to which the tRNAs corresponding amino acid is attached (by aminoacyl-tRNA synthetases). tRNAs cope with the degeneracy of the genetic code in two manners: having more than one tRNA (with a specific anti-codon) for a particular amino acid; and 'wobble' base-pairing, i.e. permitting non-standard base-pairing at the 3rd anti-codon position.
Source: Rfam by way of RNAcentral
UCCCUGGUGGUCCAGUGGUUAAGACUCUGAGCUUCCAAUGCAGAAGACAUGGGUUCAAGCCCUGGUCAAGGAA